Molecule: ribosomal RNA, 648 nt
Filed under: Vreelandella aquamarina
Lineage: Bacteria; Pseudomonadati; Pseudomonadota; Gammaproteobacteria; Oceanospirillales; Halomonadaceae
Description: bacterial SSU rRNA
Rfam family: Bacterial small subunit ribosomal RNA
Source: RNAcentral
AUGCAUAGGAAUCUGCCCGGUAGUGGGGGAUAACCUGGGGAAACCCAGGCUAAUACCGCAUACGUCCUACGGGAGAAAGGGGGCUUCGGCUCCCGCUAUCGGAUGAGCCUAUGUCGGAUUAGCUAGUUGGUGAGGUAACGGCUCACCAAGGCCACGAUCCGUAGCUGGUCUGAGAGGAUGAUCAGCCACAUCGGGACUGAGACACGGCCCGAACUCCUACGGGAGGCAGCAGUGGGGAAUAUUGGACAAUGGGGGGAACCCUGAUCCAGCCAUGCCGCGUGUGUGAAGAAGGCCCUCGGGUUGUAAAGCACUUUCAGCGAGGAAGAACGCCUAGCGGUUAAUACCCGCUAGGAAAGACAUCACUCGCAGAAGAAGCACCGGCUAACUCCGUGCCAGCAGCCGCGGUAAUACGGAGGGUGCAAGCGUUAAUCGGAAUUACUGGGCGUAAAGCGCGCGUAUGUGGCUUGAUAAGCCGGUUGUGAAAGCCCCGGGCUCAACCUGGGAACGGCAUCCGGAACUGUCGAGCUAGAGUGCAGGAGAGGAAGGUAGAAUUCCCGGUGUAGCGGUGAAAUGCGUAGAGAUCGGGAGGAAUACCAGUGGCGAAGGCGGCCUUCUGGACUGACACUGACACUGAGGUGCGAAAGCGUG